This 76-nucleotide transfer RNA is filed under the name Coriobacteriales bacterium. RNAcentral's name for it is "tRNA-Arg". It matches the Rfam family "tRNA". From Rfam's summary of the family: Transfer RNA (tRNA) molecules are approximately 80 nucleotides in length. Their secondary structure includes four short double-helical elements and three loops (D, anti-codon, and T loops). Further hydrogen bonds mediate the characteristic L-shaped molecular structure. tRNAs have two regions of fundamental functional importance: the anti-codon, which is responsible for specific mRNA codon recognition, and the 3' end, to which the tRNAs corresponding amino acid is attached (by aminoacyl-tRNA synthetases). tRNAs cope with the degeneracy of the genetic code in two manners: having more than one tRNA (with a specific anti-codon) for a particular amino acid; and 'wobble' base-pairing, i.e. permitting non-standard base-pairing at the 3rd anti-codon position. The record is from RNAcentral. Lineage: Bacteria; Bacillati; Actinomycetota; Coriobacteriia; Coriobacteriales.
GCCCCCGUAGCUCAGGGGAUAGAGCUAUGGUUUCCUAAACCAUGAGUCGGAUGUUCGAAUCAUCUCGGGGGCACCA